This is a non-coding RNA of Schistosoma haematobium, 45 nucleotides long. Lineage: Eukaryota; Metazoa; Platyhelminthes; Trematoda; Strigeidida; Schistosomatidae. The record is from Rfam.
AUCCAUCUGACGAGUCCCAAGUGGGACGAAACGCGAUCCCUGGAU